RNAcentral lists this ribosomal RNA (481 nucleotides) under uncultured bacterium. RNAcentral describes it as "partial 16S ribosomal RNA". It matches the Rfam family "Bacterial small subunit ribosomal RNA", at positions 28 to 507 of the family's 1533-position model. The record is from RNAcentral.
GAUGAACGCUGGCGGCGUGCUUAACACAUGCAAGUCGAACGAAGCAUUUGCGACAGAUUUUUUCGGAAUGAAGUUGCUUAUGACUGAGUGGCGGACGGGUGAGUAACGCGUGGGUAACCUGCCUUGUACUGGGGGAUAGCAGCUGGAAACGGCUGGUAAUACCGCAUAAGCGCACAAUGUUGCAUGACAUGGUGUGAAAAACUCCGGUGGUAUAAGAUGGACCCGCGUCUGAUUAGCUAGUUGGUGAGAUAACAGCCCACCAAGGCGACGAUCAGUAGCCGACCUGAGAGGGUGACCGGCCACAGUGGGACUGAGACACGGCCCAGACUCCUACGGGAGGCAGCAGUGGGGAAUAUUGCACAAUGGAGGAAACUCUGAUGCAGCGACGCCGCGUGAGUGAAGAAGUAAUUCGUUAUGUAAAGCUCUAUCAGCAGGGAAGAUAGUGACGGUACCUGACUAAGAAGCUCCGGCUAAAUACGUG